Molecule: small RNA, 157 nt
Filed under: Phyllobacteriaceae bacterium
Lineage: Bacteria; Pseudomonadati; Pseudomonadota; Alphaproteobacteria; Hyphomicrobiales; Phyllobacteriaceae
Description: 6S RNA
Rfam family: 6S / SsrS RNA
About the family: E. coli 6S RNA was the first non coding RNA to be sequenced, but its function was unknown until recently. It consists of 184 nucleotides that fold into an extended hairpin structure with a large single-stranded internal bulge.
Source: RNAcentral
GGCGGUCUGCGCUUCCCGACAGGAAUAACAUAUCCCCGGGGCCUUAUCGAUCCAACAGGGAGCUGUCCCUGGCUUCUCCCGUGGGAGGGGCCAUACGGCGCCCACCUACACUGUAGGCACCCGGGAUCGAACUUUCCAUCGGUUGUGUGGAUCGCUA